Molecule: ribosomal RNA, 252 nt
Filed under: uncultured bacterium
Lineage: Bacteria
Description: partial 16S ribosomal RNA
Rfam family: Bacterial small subunit ribosomal RNA
Source: RNAcentral
UACGGAGGGUGCAAGCGUUAUCCGGAUUCACUGGGUUUAAAGGGUGCGUAGGCGGGCAGGUAAGUCAGUGGUGAAAUCUCCGGGCUUAACCCGGAACUGCCGUUGAUACUAUCUGUCUUGAAUAUUGUGGAGGUAAGCGGAAUAUGUCAUGUAGCGGUGAAAUGCUUAGAUAUGACAUAGAACACCAAUUGCGAAGGCAGCUUACUACACAGUUAUUGACGCUGAGGCACGAAAGCGUGGGGAUCAAACAGG